Long non-coding RNA from Amphiprion ocellaris (clown anemonefish), 1654 nucleotides. Lineage: Eukaryota; Metazoa; Chordata; Actinopteri; Pomacentridae. The record is from Ensembl.
CAAGAAUGCCGGCUCACUGUGCUGCAUACAGUUACACACUGCGUCGUACGAUUGAGACAAGGAAACUUGGAAUGACUUUUUAAAGGUUUCCCAGAGACUAUGGGCUGAGGAGGAAGUAGGAAGUAGCUCUGAGGAGAGAGGAGUUUGCUGCACAUGAUGAGUGGGUGCUCUGCAGUGAUCAUUUUAAACCUGUGAGUUUGACAGGGCUGGGCAGGUUUGUCGGCUUAGACCUGGUGUCAUUCCAUCAGUGUUAAACUUCCCGGCUCAUCUUGGAAGAGUACGUGCCAGAAAGACCACGACCAAGCAGCCUUGAGAUCUUAGGCAGUGUCUCCCUGAGGUGGGUGUCAACAGUGUUCACAGUCAGGUCUGUGGUAAUCCCGUCAAAAAACAAAACAGAAAAAAAUCAAGAUUAUAAAUCAACAUGUAACCAAAGCACUCUGUGUAUAACGCCAUAGUAUAGGAUGUAGUUCAGAAAGUGUCAAAGUAUAGUAUACUUUACUCAAGAAUAACAUAGUAUGGCCUGUAGUUCAUAGUACAGCAUGUCGGCAAAAAAACCCCAUAGAUUAUUAUGUGGUUCAAAAAGCGCAAAAUGAUAGGAUGUUGCCUAAAAUUGUCAUGUAUGAUGUGUGGUUCAAAAAAUGUCAUAGUGCAAUAUAUUGUCAAAAUAGUAUGUAAUUCAAGAAAACAGAGUAUAAUAUGUCGUCUAAAAAAAUGCCAUAGAAUAAUAUUUCAUUGCACAAGUAAAAGUAUAGUAACUUUUAAAACUGUUCAAAUUCUUAUAUGUUACUAAAAAACAACAAAAAAAACUAAAACAAAAAAAACGUCAGUAAUAUGUCACUUAAAAAAGCCUAUAGUAUAGCGUGUCGCCCAACAAACAUCAUAGUAUAGCAUGUCACUCUAAAAACGUCACAGUAUAGCCUUUAGUCCACAGCUGUCAGUAGGUGAGGAGCCACACAAAAACAGUCCAAACGCUGGUUUCCAGAGGGUUAGACGAGAAUUUAUUUGAAAGAGUAAGUUUACAACAACACAACAUGUGAGGGGGUUAAAAACAAAUGGGUGUUAGUAAAAUAAAAAUAAAUAAACAGAGCUAAAAGUGAACUUCCUGUUGACAUUAAUGGACAUUCCAACCAGGAACAAAGUAAAAGAUAAUCAAUACAAAAAAAACUCUUCCUGUUCACCUCUUAAAACCCAAAAACACACCGCAGUAGCACCCUAAACUAAAACUACCAAUGGGUUCCCUGUUUUCCUUUCUGAACAAUUCAAAGGUCCCUCUCUAUCUCCCCACACAUCCACCAACCACUGGAACACAUCUCCAAUGUUCUGCUGGACCAGCUCAGCUUCCCCUCAGAAGAAGUGGUGCCACCUGCCAGAUGAAGGAGCCUUUUGAGAGGCAGCUGGCAUCGUGAUUGGACUGUACUUUGGUCUGUUCCAAUCCAGCUUCAGCUCCAGAGACGGCAGGCGGGACGAGUCAACGGAGGCCUGGUGGACGAAGGCAUGCAGCUGAGUACAAUCCAGAAAACAACAGAGGAGGAGUGCAGCAGCCCAGAGCCAGAACAACCAGAGUAGCAUCGUAUGUCUCUUAGAAAACAUCAUAGUAUAGCCUUUGCUAUGAAAAAACACCAUCAUAUACAUCGUAGAUUGUACAAAUAACAAG